This 465-nucleotide ribosomal RNA is filed under the name uncultured bacterium. RNAcentral's name for it is "partial 16S ribosomal RNA". It matches the Rfam family "Bacterial small subunit ribosomal RNA", at positions 28 to 507 of the family's 1533-position model. The record is from RNAcentral.
GACGAACGCUGGCGGCGUGCUUAACACAUGCAAGUCGAACGGAAAGGCCCCUUUGGGGGUACUCGAGUGGCGAACGGGUGAGUAACACGUGAGUAACCUGCCCUUGACUUCGGGAUAACUUCAGGAAACUGGGGCUAAUACCGGAUAGGAAUCCUUGCUGCAUGGUGGGGGUUGGAAAGCUUCGGCGGUUUUGGAUGGACUCGCGGCUUAUCAGCUUGUUGGUGGGGUAGUGGCUUACCAAGGCUUUGACGGGUAGCCGGCCUGAGAGGGCGACCGGCCACAUUGGGACUGAGAUACGGCCCAGACUCCUACGGGAGGCAGCAGUGGGGAAUAUUGCACAAUGGGCGGAAGCCUGAUGCAGCAACGCCGCGUGAGGGAUGACGGCCUUCGGGUUGUAAACCGCUUUCAGCAGGGGCGAAGCUUGUGGUGACGGUACCUGCAGAAGAAGCACCGGCUAACUACGUG